CCUACGGGGUGCAGCAGUGAGGAAUAUUGGUCAAUGGGCGCGAGCCUGAACCAGCCAAGUCGCGUGAAGGAUGACUGCCCUACGGGUUGUAAACUUCUUUUAUAAAGGAAUAAAGUGAGGCACGUGUGCCUUUUUGUAUGUACUUUAUGAUUAAGGAUCGGCUAACUCCGUGCCAGCAGCCGCGGUAAUACGGAGGAUCCGAGCGUUAUCCGGAUUUAUUGGGUUUAAAGGGAGCGUAGAUGGGUUGUUAAGUCAGUUGUGAAAGUGUGCGGCUCAACCGUAAAAUUGCAAUUGAUACUGGCAGCCUUGAGGACAGUUGAGGUAGGCGGAAUUCGUGGUGUAGCGGUGAAAUGCUUAGAUAGCACGAAGAACUCCGAUUGCGAAGGCAGCUUACUAAACUGCCACUGACAUUGAUGCUCGAAAGUGUGGGUAUCAAACAGGAUUAGAUACCCCAGUAGUC
Molecule: ribosomal RNA, 460 nt
Filed under: uncultured bacterium
Lineage: Bacteria
Description: partial 16S ribosomal RNA
Rfam family: Bacterial small subunit ribosomal RNA
Source: RNAcentral